AUGCUUCACUGACCAUGUACACCCUUACCUUACCUCCAGCUAUAAAAGCAACUUAAUAAAGACUUUAACAAAUCCUAAGACAUUCUUGUGAGAUCUGCAGCGCCGUUCUGUGUUCUCACAUCCAUUGCCAUAUCUUCCAUGUAAGUUGUGAGAUUAGGUUGUGGAAGCUUUUUCAUGAUGGAAAUGAUUGUCAAUAAUUGAUCAUCCAACAACUGUGAUUUCUUUGAUUAAGGUUUAAUAUUGACUGUAGAAUAAUGGAUCUAUCGAAUUAUCUUGAAGUCUUAAGGAUUGCAUUUUGGUUCAAGUGGCACUCUAUCCAUAUUCUCUCGUGGGUCUUCUCGUUCCCUUGAUGAUGAAAUUUUAAAAGAUAUUAAGAGAGUUAUACCUCACAUGUCUUCUCGUCAUUCAGCGGUAAGGAAAAGCCUUGGUUCUAUGGAAAAGAAAGCGAAAAAGAAGG
Non-coding RNA from Arachis ipaensis, 457 nucleotides. The record is from RefSeq and is a predicted model, not a curated record. Lineage: Eukaryota; Viridiplantae; Streptophyta; Magnoliopsida; Fabales; Fabaceae.